RNAcentral lists this long non-coding RNA (931 nucleotides) under Malus domestica (apple). Its description in RNAcentral is "long non-coding RNA (MDOM_LNC021205)". The record is from RNAcentral. Lineage: Eukaryota; Viridiplantae; Streptophyta; Magnoliopsida; Rosales; Rosaceae.
AGCAACAAAGAAGUUUUCCAAGUCCAAGAAGGAAAAGGAAUCCAAGAUGAUGAAGGAUUGACAAAGACAAACUUUCCUAAUCCUAAUGUACAAAGAUUUCAGCUCCAAAGAGGAGUCCUAAACACUUUAGGACACCUUAUCCCUUCACAAUCAGCCUUAUCCCUUAGUGCCGCACCUAUUCCCUUCUAGAAAUCUGAUUUCCUUGCCUUGCAAGGCUUUCUAGAAGCCUUAUCCACCCUAUCCCUUACCUGCCGCACCUAGGAGGCCUUUUCCCAUUCAAAAUCUGAUUGUUUUAAGCCUUUUCCUGAUGGGUUUUAAUUAUACAAGUCCAUAUCUGAUUCCCCUAGGGUUUUAAGUGCCUAUAUAUACUCAUAUUAACCCUUUGGCUGAAUUCACCACCUCCCAUAUACAUCAUUCACGCCAGAAAUCUGUCCCACAUCUCUGCCGCAGCUUCCCACCACCAUUCACCAUAAUUCCUACCUAAAAACAACCCUAGCCGCACCACCCAUCAACCCUAAACCCUUCCAUACCAUUCCCCAUCCAUUCUACACCAUAAAUCCACCCAAAAACCUGUCCACAAGCUUCAUGCCGCAACAAUGAGGAAGGGAGAUCCAUUGAUGCACCUGCUGUCCAAGUUGGAGCAAUUUAGGUGUUUUCUUUCCUUUGAUUUUAAUGUCUAAUUUUAUGUAUCUUUGCUUUGCAAGUAUGAGGAACUAAACCCCCCUUGGCUAGGGGGGAUUCAAAACCAUGUUUAUGCUUGCUAUAUGAUUUGAUUACUUCUAAUUGCGUUUCAUAAGUUGUGAAUUCAAUUUACUUAUCUAUGUGAAUUAAAACUGAUUUGUGUAUGUUGGUUAAGAGGGCCCGCUUAGUUUGCAUGCAUGAAUUUGAUGCUAGGAUAUCAGGGAAUUUCAAUUAAUUGUUAUGAACUUAU